GUGGGGAAUAUUGGACAAUGGGGGGAACCCUGAUCCAGCCAUGCCGCGUGUGUGAAGAAGGCCUUUUGGUUGUAAAGCACUUUAAGCGAGGAGGAGGCUACCGAGAUUAAUACUCUUGGAUAGUGGACGUUACUCGCAGAAUAAGCACCGGCUAACUCUGUGCCAGCAGCCGCGGUAAUACAGAGGGUGCAAGCGUUAAUCGGAUUUACUGGGCGUAAAGCGCGCGUAGGUGGCCAAUUAAGUCAAAUGUGAAAUCCCCGAGCUUAACUUGGGAAUUGCAUUCGAUACUGGUUGGCUAGAGUAUGGGAGAGGAUGGUAGAAUUCCAGGUGUAGCGGUGAAAUGCGUAGAGAUCUGGAGGAAUACCGAUGGCGAAGGCAGCCAUCUGGCCUAAUACUGACACCGAGGUGCGAAAGCAUGGGGAGCAAACAGGAUUAGAAACCCCUGUAGUCC
Molecule: ribosomal RNA, 451 nt
Filed under: uncultured bacterium
Lineage: Bacteria
Description: partial 16S ribosomal RNA
Rfam family: Bacterial small subunit ribosomal RNA
Source: RNAcentral